Molecule: ribosomal RNA, 460 nt
Filed under: uncultured bacterium
Lineage: Bacteria
Description: partial 16S ribosomal RNA
Rfam family: Bacterial small subunit ribosomal RNA
Source: RNAcentral
CCUACGGGAGGCAGCAGUGAGGAAUAUUGGUCAAUGGACGCGAGUCUGAACCAGCCAUGCAGCGUGCAGGAUGACGGCUCUAUGAGUUGUAAACUGCUUUUGUACGGGAGUAAACCCCGAUACGUGUAUCGGGUUGAAAGUAUCGUACGAAUAAGGAUCGGCUAACUCCGUGCCAGCAGCCGCGGUAAUACGGAGGAUCCGAGCGUUAUCCGGAUUUAUUGGGUUUAAAGGGUGCGUAGGCGGUUUGAUAAGUUAGAUGUGAAAGUUUGGGGCUCAACCCCGAAACUGCCUCUAAUACUGUUGGACUAGAGAAUAGUUGCGGUAGGCGGAAUUCAUGGUGUAGCGGUGAAAUGCUUAGAGAUCACACAGAACACCGAUUGCGAAGGCAGCCUACCAAACUAUAUCUGACGUUGAGGCACGAAAGUGUGGGUAGCAAACAGGAUUAGAUACCCUAGUAGUC